Long non-coding RNA from Anguilla rostrata (American eel), 3483 nucleotides. RefSeq lists it as uncharacterized. The transcript is spliced from 3 exons. Lineage: Eukaryota; Metazoa; Chordata; Actinopteri; Anguilliformes; Anguillidae. The record is from RefSeq and is a predicted model, not a curated record.
UUGUUUACAAUGUCAAUUAAAAUAUAUUUGUUUUGCCUCACACUAAAUAUAGUUCAUUUAUCUUUUGUACUGUGCAAUAAUUUCAGCUCUUGCAAUGCUUCAUAAAACCUGGUAUUUAGGAUAACAUGCAAAAUGCACACAAUUGAAAUGUUUUUAUGCAAUGACGAUGAUGUGACGAGGAAGGGUGUUGUUUUGGUCGACAGAGAAAACCUAUAUAUGCUUUCACUUUCCGUUCAGCUGUAGACUGCAGCUGCAAUUGCUGCGAGUUCUUCGCUGAGCAAAAUAUCUGAACAAUACUGAAUACAUUGGCAGUUCGUUUUUGGGACAAAAUUGGAGCUAAAGCUUCGAAAGGUAAUACGGGAGCACACCUGGAAUUUCACCAUCAGCUGUAAGACAUACCUUUCCUUAUGUAAGAUCGGACUGUGGGCUAAAUUACAUGCCACUCUUCGUGUCCAGUCAUGAACGAACCCUGUGCUACAAUGGAUUUCACUUCUGAGGAGAUGUUGUGGUUGGAAAACAUUUCAUCGGAGGUGUGUGAAAAUAGUGAGCUGUCUCCAAUGGAGAAGGUCCUCAGUGACAUGGCCAGGCCAAAGAAUGAUCUGGAGGGGAUGCUGUUUGAGCUAGCAGCUUACAUCAGGUUUGGAUUGACCGAGCCACCCAUCUACCCGCAAUUUGAUCCUCAACUGUCUUCUAGCAGUACCCCCUCAUUGUCCCUGUGUGGGUGGGAAUGGCAUGAACUGGAGACAAAUUUGGAAUAAAUGGAGCCUGUGAAGGAGCACUGGGUACAAACCAAAAUUUUCCUUUUUUUAAAAUGGAUACUUCCGGUCUUCCUUGCUGACUGGACGAUGAGCACUCCAACUGCUGUAUUCCUGAUAACUAUAUUUCUGUGAAACCUUGGUUCUCCUGUUCAGGAUAUCAUGGAUAUUGUAUCAAUCAAUCAAUCGAUCGACCAGUCAGUCAGUCAAUCAGUCAGUUCCCAGUAAAUAUACUCAUCAAAUAUCAGAUUAGUAUGGUUUGAUAUACAGGUAAAAUUUAGCUGCAGGUGGAAGAAAAGCAUCAGUGAGUAGACACACUGUCACAUCGGCACUGGUGAAAUCGGAGAGGCUACUGGCUACUACCAGCUACUGGAGAGAAAAUAGAAAAGUACUGUCAAGGGGAAAAUACUUUUAAUUGCUAUUGGUGAAGUGCCAUGCAAGUGGACAUGAAUUAUAUGAACUUGUGGCUAUCUGCUUUAAGUGCUUAUUUAAAUGUUCUGUUGGGAUCAAUUUGGGAGUUGGUCAGCGUGGUCAGUGCUACAUCAGGAACGGACUGCGCUGAGGCCAAACCCCAUGGGCUAUCGUUCAGUCGUGCUAAACAGGCUUUAGAAGUAUUGGGGUCCCAGUCUGAGGUGAAAACACAGGGGAUGCGACUUUGCCAGCCAUUUAGACCACUGCUUUCUAGCAGUGUGCUGAAGUGGAAAGUUGUCAACCUAGUUCUGCAUGCAACAGAAGGCUUGCAACAUCCAGAGGCAUUUCCAGGAAAUUUCUUGAGUAAAAUGCUGCAGAAUUUGCUCAAUUCGGUGUUUGACAAAUGGAAACAGCUCUGUGUUUUGAGGAAGUUGCUCUUGGCUGAUUUCAAUCAGGUAGGGGGUAGGGGGUAAAGUGUAUGACAUAAUUAAAUCAAUAUAUGUAAAAAACAAGUGCGUAAUGAAACUUGGCAAAAAAAGAACUGAUUUCUUCACGCAGGGAUGUGGGGUGAGGUAUGGCUGCAGUUCAAGUCCAACAUUGUUCAAUACUUAUAUUGAUGAAUUAGCUGUGUUACUGGAACAAUCUUCAGCUCCUGGCCUGACCCUAAACAACACAGACGUUAAAUUCUUGCAGAUGACCUGGUCCUGCUGUCACUCACUGAACAAGGAUUACAGCAGAACCUGGAUCUGCUAGAACAAGACUGUUAGAACUGGGCACUGACAGUAAAUUUGGAAAAAAAAACAAAGAUUAUGAUCUUCCAAAAAAAGCCCAGAUCUCAGGAAAACAGAUACCUCUUUACUCUAGGAGACACCGUCCUAGGAAUCGUAGUUUAGACACACACUAAACUACGAUUACCUAGGACUAAAAAUCAGUGCGUCAGGGAGCUUUGGCCUAGCAGUGAAUGCAUUAAAAGAAAAAGCCUGCAGGGCUUUUUAUGUGAUUAAAAGGAGAUUCCAUAAAACAAAUAUUCCUAUUAGAAUCUGGUUAAAAAUCUUUGACUGUGUCAUCCAGCCUAUCAUGCUGUAUGGAAGCGAAAUAUGGGGUCCACUCAGUCAGCAAGACUACACCAAGUGGGAGAAACAUCCAGCUGAAACCCUGCAUGCAGAAUUCUGUAAAAACAUAUUGCAAGUACAUAGCAAUGCCCCUAACAAUGCAUGCAGGGCUGAAUUAGGCAGAUUUCCGACUCUCAUUCAAAUUCAAAAAAGGGCAUUAAAUUUUAUUGAACAUCUAAAAAUGAGUCCAACAGACUCCUUACAAUUCUUGGCACUCCAAACCCAAGAGCUCAGCCCAGGAAAGUAUACCCUCAGUCAGCUGGUUCUGAACCUCUCUAGACUAACAUUAACACAUACUAAUGCAAACCAGCUUCAGACCAGCACUGCUUCACAACAGCCAAUUAGAGUCAACCAAAUUAUAAAACACAUCAAAAACUCCUAUCUGGACCAUUGGAACAAAGAAACACAAUCCCAAAAUAAACUGAAUUGUUAUCGGGCCCUAAAUAGAAAAUACACACUGGCAGAGUAUCUCUUCUCUGUCAGAGAUACAAAGCAGAGACGGAUCCUGACAGGCUCAGUGACCACAUGCUUGCAAUUGAAAUAGGCAGAUACAAAAACUCAUGGGUACCAAAAGAAGAGUGAAUAUGCGGUCACUGCAAAACAAGGGAAGUGGAAACAGAGAUACACUUCCUCCUUACUUGCACAACAUAUUUACAAAUUAGUAUAUUAGUAAUAUUUACAAUUAUUUACAAAAAAAUAUUUCCAAAAAUUAUCCCAAAUUAUAAAUAAUUUUAAUUUCAAAUCAAAAGAAGAAAAAUGUGCAUUUCUUUUAGGGGAAGGAUCAACAGCCCCAAUUGCGGCACAGUUCAUUUCAGCCUGUCAUAACCUGAGGGACAGUGAGUGACCACCCACCCCAUAUAAACAUUGUACAUAUUUUUUUAUUUACAUCUGUUGCUGUCAAUGCUGAUAUUUGUAUAUAUUGUUGCAUUUAUCAUUAUUAUUUUAAUAUUAUUAUUAUUUUACAUUAUAUAUGUAUGCUUUGGAAAUAAUUACAUUUGUAUUUCAUGCCAAUAAAGCAACUUAAAUUGAAUUGAAAAUUGAAAAUUGAGAGAGAGAGAGAGAGAGAGAGAGAGACUGAGUGUGUGCUGGUGCCUGAACAAACAUGCAUAUAAAAAAUACAUUUGCUGUGAUCAUGAAGUGAAUAAUGGAAUAAAUACUACUGUGUUGGAUUAAGAUAAUUAAAUUAAUGUUUUCCAUUCAUGUAA